GAUGAACGCUGGCGGCGUGCCUAAUACAUGCCAGUCGAGCGAACAGAUGAGGAGCUUGCUCCUCUGACGUUAGCGGCGGACGGGUGAGUAACACGUGGAUAACCUACCUAUAAGACUGGGAUAACUUCGGGAAACCGGAGCUAAUACCGGAUAAUAUAUUGAACCGCAUGGUUCAAUAGUGAAAGACGGUUUUGCUGUCACUUAUAGAUGGAUCCGCGCCGCAUUAGCUAGUUGGUAAGGUAACGGCUUACCAAGGCGACGAUGCGUUGCCGACCUGAGAGGGUGAUCGGCCACACUGGAACUGAGACACGGUCCAGACUCCUACGGGAGGCAGCAGUAGGGAAUCUUCCGCAAUGGGCGAAAGCCUGACGGAGCAACGCCGCGUGAGUGAUGAAGGUCUUCGGAUCGUAAAACUCUGUUAUUAGGGAAGAACAAAUGUGUAAGUAACUAUGCACGUCUUGACGGUACCUAAUCAGAAAGCCACGGCUAACUACGUG
RNAcentral lists this ribosomal RNA (497 nucleotides) under uncultured bacterium. RNAcentral's name for it is "partial 16S ribosomal RNA". It matches the Rfam family "Bacterial small subunit ribosomal RNA", at positions 28 to 507 of the family's 1533-position model. The record is from RNAcentral.